AUUAGUUAGUUGGUGUGGUAACGGCACACCAAGGCUACGAUCAGUAACUGGUCUGAGAGGAUGAUCAGUCACACUGGAACUGAGACACGGUCCAGACUCCUACGGGAGGCAGCAGUGAGGAAUAUUGGGCAAUGCUCGAAAGAGUGACCCAGCAACGCCGCGUGGAGGAUGAAGGUAUUCUAUAUCGUAAACUCCUGUGAGAGCAGACGAAAGACGGAUUAUUAAUCUGGAUGACUGUAUGCUCAGAGGAAGCCCCGGCUAACUACGUG
This 269-nucleotide ribosomal RNA is filed under the name uncultured bacterium. RNAcentral's name for it is "partial 16S ribosomal RNA". It matches the Rfam family "Bacterial small subunit ribosomal RNA", at positions 240 to 507 of the family's 1533-position model. The record is from RNAcentral.